This 135-nucleotide unclassified non-coding RNA is filed under the name soil metagenome. RNAcentral describes it as "partial internal transcribed spacer 1". The record is from RNAcentral.
CAGAGUUUGCAAAACUCCCAACCCUUGUGAACGUACUGAAAAGUUGCUUCGGCGGGAGGCUCCUCAGGGAGCGGACCGCCGGAGGAAUCCAACUCUUGUUUUUUUGGCAUCUCUGAGUAGCUUAUAAAUAAGUUA